AUGCUUUUUUACGGGAGCCGCCGUGAUUUUACACGUCAGGGCAUGACCUUGCUGCUGUUUAGGGGAGGGUUUGUGGCGAGCCGACCGAGGGCGUCUGAUGGUACAAAGAGGCGAGCCACCAGUGCUUCAUGCCGGAGCCGUCGUGGUGUAGCGAAGGACCAGCCGCUUCAAUGCAGCGACGGCGCUGCCGGCCGGUGCUGCAGCGCAUCGCUGGCGCCACGAAGGAGGAGCGUCUGGCGUGAUGCGUUGCAACUUCUGAUGUGCUGCAUGCCGAAUGAGGCGCGACGCCGUCGGGUCGCCGGUGCUGCGAUGAAGUCCUCGUCGCCGGGCGUCAGUGUUGUAAUGAAGCUCUCGUCUCCAGCCACUGGUGUUGUAAUGAAGCUCUCAUCUCCAGCCACCGGUGCUGCGAUGAAGCCCUCGUCGCCGGCCGCCGGUGCUGCGAUGAAGCCCUCGCCGCCGGCCACCAGUGUUGUAAUGAAGCUCUCGUCGCCGGCCACUGGUGCUGCGAUGGAGCCCUCGUCGUCGGCCACUGGUGCUGCAAUGAAGCCCCCGUCGCCGUGUGGUGCUAGCAUGGAGCUUCGCCUGAUGCCCAUCAGUGUUGCAUUGGAGCUUUGA
This 615-nucleotide ribosomal RNA is filed under the name Triticum aestivum (bread wheat). RNAcentral describes it as "partial small subunit ribosomal RNA". The record is from RNAcentral. Lineage: Eukaryota; Viridiplantae; Streptophyta; Magnoliopsida; Poales; Poaceae.